CUACGGGAUGCUCCAGUGGGGAAUAUUGCACAAUGGGCGCAAGCCUGAUGCAGCCAUGCCGCGUGUAUGAAGAAGGCCUUCGGGUUGUAAAGUACUUUCAGCGGGGAGGAAGGGAGUAAAGUUAAUACCUUUGCUCAUUGACGUUACCCGCAGAAGAAGCACCGGCUAACUCCGUGCCAGCAGCCGCGGUAAUACGGAGGGUGCAAGCGUUAAUCGGAAUUACUGGGCGUAAAGCGCACGCAGGCGGUUUGUUAAGUCAGAUGUGAAAUCCCCGGGCUCAACCUGGGAACUGCAUCUGAUACUGGCAAGCUUGAGUCUCGUAGAAGGGGGUAGAAUUCCAGGUGUAGCGGUGAAAUGCGUAGAGAUCUGGAGGAAUACCGGUGGCGAAGGCGGCCCCCUGGACGAAGACUGACGCUCAGGUGCGAAAGCGUGGGGAGCAAACAGGAUUAGAUACCCUUGUAGUC
Molecule: ribosomal RNA, 464 nt
Filed under: uncultured bacterium
Lineage: Bacteria
Description: partial 16S ribosomal RNA
Rfam family: Bacterial small subunit ribosomal RNA
Source: RNAcentral